Amaranthus tricolor (Joseph's coat) is the source of this 2439-nucleotide long non-coding RNA. RefSeq lists it as uncharacterized. The record is from RefSeq and is a predicted model, not a curated record. Lineage: Eukaryota; Viridiplantae; Streptophyta; Magnoliopsida; Caryophyllales; Amaranthaceae. The transcript is spliced from 5 exons.
UGACCGUCUUCAUUUUAGUGGAUAACCAUUGAAUUAAUUUACGCCUUAAUCUGAAAAUGAAGCUAAUUAAUCAUUAUGGCGCUUGUAAUUGGUAUGCACCAUUAGCUUAAUUGCGUUCAUCGUAGUAUAGUUGAGAAGCCAUGCAAAACUCUUUAGUCAAUAUUCAGUUAUUCACCUUCAAUAUUCUUGGUUCAAUAUGAAAAUGGAGGUUUCCGGUUUUUGAGGGCUUGUGAUAUUCCGAUGUUUGCAUUAUCUAAGUUUCAGAUGACGAAAUUCAACGGCAAUGUCAGGGUGCACAAUUCGAGAUUGGUCACGCAAGCAUGUUCUCAGCUGCAUUUUGGUAUUCGGUAGAAGGUAAAUCAUGACAUAGAUCUGAUCACUACAUGGUCAGUUAUGAUAAUCCGCUGUUGGAUUUUAUCUCAGGAGGAUCUGCUCUUACUGAAACCGCCUUCUUUCCUACAGUCCGUGGUUUUUUUCUGCUGCUUAUCUAUUUUUGUAGGAUAACGAUUCUCUGUAAUAAAGGUAUGCCUUUUUUAUCAUGAAUUUUUUCAGGUUGAUAGGUAUGUAUGUUGUAGUAUAAUCUUUUUGACUUUCUAUUCUUGGUUGGUUGUUCAUUGUUACUGUAGUCUGUAUACAUAUGUUUGAUGUAGUUUCUUCACUUAUAUUUACUGCUGAGUUCAAACAAUAAUGCUCUAAAGUUUAAGCUGUCCAAAAAUUUUUGGGUGAAUUGCUGUGACCAAUAACAAAGUAUCGUUCAAUAUGCACCCCGUCUUUUCCUUUUUAUAUUUCCGGUUGGGGCUGACUAGGGACUUGUGCGUACUUAGAUACUUGUAUGAUUGUAUCAAACUUAAGUUUGUGUUCUAGUGCCAAACUUGGGUAUUUAAUGAAUUUACUUAUAUUUAUUUCAAAGCGAAGUGUCAAGUGUGCUCACCUAUGUCCAAGUGUUGAGGACUCGUCAUGACUAUUUGAACCUUGAGGUGGAAUGAAGAUUCCAAAUAGCACAAGUUUUAGAAUUGGUGGAUUGGAAUCAUCUAGUUGACCUUUAGCGCAAAAAAUGCGGAUUCGUUUGUGGUUGCAAUAACUUAUAUGGUGAUGCGAUGAUGGGGAUGAUGUGGUAAUCAUGCCGCCAAAAAUCAACUGAGACAUUGAGAUAUACCUUCAAACCGUGAAAGAACCAUGAAAAGAAACUCACAGGAUAUACAUGAACUGCAGGAAUCUCAAUCUCAUUCAGACAGUACUAAGAAGGGAAAAGGCAAAAUAAAAAAGUUUUGUAAACUCGAAAUAAGCAUCAGAGGAAGAACUCAUUGAAUAGAACACUGCCCUGAAUCAUAGGCAGGAGGAUACUCAACAGCAACUAGCUCACACUGAUUGCACCAGGAUCUAUUGCAGGGCAAUGGGCAAGAAAGCUUAAGAGGGUCCCGCCACUUCUGUUGCUGAUCGCUGUAUGAGUAUGACUGACAUGAGCCGCAGUAGCAGUAGGGCUCGCAUCUUUGUGGUCUUGGUGGGCCCACAGUAACAAUUUCUGGGGUCUCUCCAAUCUUCUUGAGUGCCUUGAAGAUUGGCACUGGUUCAACAUCCCCUACAACUGUAAGAGUACCCUUGUGCCCAUCCAUUUCCAGUUUUUCGACACCUGUGUAUAAACAUCCAGAUCGGAUUAGAGAAUGUUUACGGUGUUCAUUGUAGCCUGUAGGUCGCAAACUAGAUACUUGCCGACCCUUAUGGUGCUCAUGGAAGUUUUAAUUUCCAAUUUCUUGGUUGGCUGAAAUUCGGGUCAUUGCUGUAUGCUUUGGGGUGUAAGUAAUUAGAUAGAGAACUAUUCUCUGCAUCAGCAUAUUGUAUUGUACAAAGACACAUCAAUUAGAAGAAACUUAGCAGUAAUGAAAAAGAAAAAAGUAAAACUUCUAUUUAUUAAGAUGAUAGGUUCUCUAAAUGAUAUCGGUCAUCCCUGGAGCAAUAUCGUUUAAAUCAAAAGGCAUUAGAAGGGCUACUUCAUUCUCCAAUCCAAGAUGGAGACUUCAUUCAUAAUUUUUUUUAACCAUAGCAUCAUCAUUCAGUUCCAUUCUGGAUCCUAGAGGAUUCCUCAUAGCAGGAUACUUGACAAAAGAUGGCUUAGGCUACUUGAUAAAAAGCACGGCAGUCGCAAGUUAGGACUCGGGUUUUUUCAAUGACUGUACUUGAGCAGACGCAAGUUGUGACUCGAGCAGCAGUUUGUGGCUAUGUAGUUUGUGAUGCUGCAUUGAGAUUGAGUAGUAGCCAUGGUUAUAUUGUUAAUGCCCCAUAAUAUCAUGUUUUCUUUCUUUUUUUUUUUUUAUUCGUAGAUAGACUAGAGAAUCUUAAUAAUUGGUUGAAGGGAAAUAAUAUGAUGCUUUCUUAAUUUAGUAAGUAUAUGUAUUAUUUCUUGGUGAUUAAAGAGCAUUUUGAAGAGAAUUAUUGUGGAAA